Molecule: long non-coding RNA, 753 nt
Organism: Gymnogyps californianus (California condor)
Lineage: Eukaryota; Metazoa; Chordata; Aves; Accipitriformes; Cathartidae
Exons: 3
Source: RefSeq, a predicted model, not a curated record
AACAACAACAACAAUAUUUAAGAUCUCUCCUGUCCAAGCACAGGACUGUGGUCUUGGCAGAAGGUGGGAAUACAGCUGUCCUCUUGCAGCAUGUGGCCAUCCAAAGAAAAACAGCACAGAAAUCAGACACACAAAAGCAGUUCAUCUGGGAGUCUGUCUGCACAGAAAAGUUCUGGGUUUUGUUCAUGCUGUUACACUUCUCAGGGAUGUAUCGGGACCUCUCUCCACGAUGACCCUAAGGGACUCACCCCAGGGAACACCAUAGAUGUCACAAAUUGAAUCACAUUCUGAAUGUAAAUGCGCUGUCAGUCGGCCUGGGAAGAGGGACUGCAGGUACGUGGAAGUUGCAAAAGAAAAUGUAGCACAUCCCAGCAGCACCCAAGAGGUGCAGGCCUGUCUGCUGUGCUCAACAAUAAUGUUAUCUGAGAGGAAACACGGUGGUGAAAGGGGCAUGAGGAGUCGCUUCCAUUUCCUGCUCGCAAAUAGAAUAAUGUCAUAAAAUGACAUAGACUUGACUGACAGCAUCGCGGUGGAGAUAAUGAUGUACUGAGAGGCUUGAAAGGGAUAGAAUUGGCUGUUGAGAAAGAAAGAGGAGAAAUUGUCCAUCAGAGUGAAGGUCAGAUGGUAAUGUGAGCAAAUGUGGCUGGGGGAAGGCUGUUACCAAACCCAACAAUUAUUUCAGGCACAAAUCACUGGGGCAUCAUCAAAGCCUUAAUUAAAUCAGUGGGGUUUUUUUUGAAAAUUGCCUGAAUG